RNAcentral lists this long non-coding RNA (1208 nucleotides) under Anser cygnoides (Swan goose). Its description in RNAcentral is "lncRNA (ENSACDG00005002017.1)". The record is from RNAcentral. Lineage: Eukaryota; Metazoa; Chordata; Aves; Anseriformes; Anatidae.
GAAAUAUUUUAUUAAAAUUAAGUUUAAAAAAUUACUGUAUUAUUUUGCAAUCUAGCAAAGGGAAUAUGAGGCAAGAUAUACAAAUUGCUAAACAUCUGUAGAGGUUGAUUGGGUUGCAAAAUGAUUAUAAGCUAACAUAUAAGCAAGAGGGCUGGAUAUUUAACAGGAAAGCAAAUAGCCCCUAGAAGAUAUUAUGUACCUCUAUGCACCUUCAGGCACUAAAAAAAAGCUUUGACAAUCUGCUUGUAAGUAAAUAAAUAAAAAAUAAAAACCAAAACUGGUAAUAGCCUUCCAAAAUCAACUCAUAUAAAAACUGAUUUUGACUACUGAUGAUUUUACUGAAGCCUUGUAUUCUUCAUUCAAUCACCUUGGAGUACCAGCCUGAAGUUAAUCCUGGGAUUCUGAUACAGGACUGCUCUACAGCAGAAUUACCCAUAAUUGCCUCAAUUCCUGCUGACUGGUUAUUUUUGCACCAGUGACUCAAAUUAGGCACAGCUGGCCACGGCAAGUUGGAGUUUAGUAACAGCCAAUUGUCAGAAACUAGCUGAUGGUCAAUGUUGUUUUUUUUUUUGUCUCAAAUGGGUGAAAGGAACAGUGACAGUCCUCCCUCCUCUCUCCCUCCUGCCCUCAGACAAGCAGCUAUCUACUUUCUGAAGCUGAAGAAAUAAGUUGAUGCAUAAUGUUUCUCUUGACCCGUCCACCUCACUGCUCUCCUCCAUGCAUCUCCUGGAACACAAUGUCUGAAACUCCUAUUUCAAUAGAAAUUCUAUCCAUGCUGGGUAAAUAAGGAUCACUUCAUGUAUCUUGGAAGAAACAGAAGAGGCCAGCAUUUCACCCUUAUGGGACUGUCUUCAUCAAGGACAGCAAAAAGAAGAAAGCAUGCUGAUAUAUUUGCAUCAAAAAUACAUCUAACAAAUUGGAGGAAAGAAGCAGUGUAUGCUCACCAGGCGGAUCAUCUGUGUAUCUUACUCAGCCAGUUUCCUGCCGUUGGAUAUCAAUUGUCCACUAGGUAUUUUCUUUUUCUAUUCUCACUGUCAGUGUGUUUUGGAGGGUUUCUUGAAGAUUCAGAAAUUUUAAUAAUUAGGCUUGAUGUUUGUUAGAAGGGAAUCAGGUUAUAAAGAAGGGUACAUGAUAUACAGGUUGUUGACUUCCAAGAUCUAAAAGUCCCUCUGAGAACAUUUAGCUAAUAAAUGUGCGUAGUCCACACA